AAUGAAACUAUCACCGUUUUUCUUCGCCUUCUUUUUUAUUUUCCCCUAACAGGGAGGCGAUGCGUCGUGUGAGAAAGAAACCGAAGACGAACAUCAAAGCCUCCCAAACGGGAGGCUUUUUUUAU
This is a regulatory RNA element of Erwinia sp., 125 nucleotides long. It matches the Rfam family "Phenylalanine leader peptide". The record is from Rfam. Lineage: Bacteria; Pseudomonadati; Pseudomonadota; Gammaproteobacteria; Enterobacterales; Erwiniaceae.